RNAcentral lists this unclassified non-coding RNA (21 nucleotides) under Chlamydomonas reinhardtii. RNAcentral describes it as "small RNA Cre_3215". Lineage: Eukaryota; Viridiplantae; Chlorophyta; Chlorophyceae; Chlamydomonadales; Chlamydomonadaceae. The record is from RNAcentral.
UGGAAGACAUUGUCAGGUGGG